RNAcentral lists this ribosomal RNA (244 nucleotides) under uncultured bacterium. Its description in RNAcentral is "partial 16S ribosomal RNA". It matches the Rfam family "Bacterial small subunit ribosomal RNA", at positions 118 to 347 of the family's 1533-position model. The record is from RNAcentral.
UGGGUAACCUGCCUCAAAGAGGGGAAUAGCCUCCCGAAAGGGAGAUUAAUACCGCAUAAUAUGUUUAAGUCGCAUGACUUUAACAUCAAAGGAUUUUCUUUUAAGAAAUUCCACUUUGAGAUGGACCCGCGGUGCAUUAGCUAGUUGGUGAGGUAACGGCUCACCAAGGCAACGAUGCGUAGCCGACCUGAGAGGGUGAUCGGCCACAUUGGAACUGAGACACAGUCCAGACCUCUACGGGAGG